UUUGUCCUACGGGAGGCAGCAGUGGGGGAUAUUGCACAAUGGGGGAAACCCUGAUGCAGCGACGCCGCGUGUAGGAAGACGGUCUUCUGGAUUGUAAACUACUGUCCCCAGGGACGAAGAUGACGGUACCUGGGGAGGAAGCUCCGGCUAACUACGUGCCAGCAGCCGCGGUAAUACGUAGGGGGCAAGCGUUAUCCGGAUUUACUGGGUGUAAAGGGGGCGCAGACGGCGAUGCAAGCCAGGAGUGAAAGCCCGGGGCCCAACCCCGGGACUGCUCUUGGAACUGCGUGGCUGGAGUGCAGGCG
Molecule: ribosomal RNA, 305 nt
Filed under: uncultured bacterium
Lineage: Bacteria
Description: bacterial SSU rRNA
Rfam family: Bacterial small subunit ribosomal RNA
Source: RNAcentral